This 253-nucleotide ribosomal RNA is filed under the name uncultured bacterium. RNAcentral's name for it is "partial 16S ribosomal RNA". It matches the Rfam family "Bacterial small subunit ribosomal RNA", at positions 524 to 776 of the family's 1533-position model. The record is from RNAcentral.
UACGUAGGGGGCAAGCGUUGUCCGGAAUCAUUGGGCGUAAAGGGCGCGUAGGCGGCCCGCCGCGUCCGGGGUGAAAUCCUCCCGCUCAACGGGAGGACGGCCUCGGAUACGGGCGGGCUGGAGGGGGGUAGGGGCACGCGGAACUGUGGGUGGAGCGGUGAAAUGCGUUGAGAUCCACAGGAACUCCGGUGGCGAAGGCGGCGUGCUGGACCCCACCUGACGCUGAGGCGCGAAAGCCAGGGGAGCGAACGGG